CACCGCCCGUCACAUCACGAAAGUCAGUUGCUCUUGAAGUCACCGCGCUAACCGUAAGGAGGCAGGUGCCGACGGAGUGGCUGGCGAUUGGGGUG
RNAcentral lists this ribosomal RNA (95 nucleotides) under uncultured bacterium. RNAcentral's name for it is "partial 16S ribosomal RNA". It matches the Rfam family "Bacterial small subunit ribosomal RNA", at positions 1388 to 1482 of the family's 1533-position model. The record is from RNAcentral.